AACUCUGGACCCGCUCUCAUACAAUGUGCUUUUUAACUGUGUGAAAGUGAGGCCAGUGUGGU
This 62-nucleotide microRNA precursor is filed under the name Eisenia fetida (common brandling worm). Its description in RNAcentral is "Efe-Mir-2690-P2_pre stem-loop". Lineage: Eukaryota; Metazoa; Annelida; Clitellata; Crassiclitellata; Lumbricidae. The record is from RNAcentral.